UGGGGAAUUUUGGACAAUGGGCGAAAGCCUGAUCCAGCAAUGCCGCGUGUGUGAAGAAGGCCUUCGGGUUGUAAAGCACUUUUGUCCGGAAAGAAAUCCUUGGCUCUAAUACAGUCGGGGGAUGACGGUACCGGAAGAAUAAGCACCGGCUAACUACGUGCCAGCAGCCGCGGUAAUACGUAGGGUGCAAGCGUUAAUCGGAAUUACUGGGCGUAAAGCGUGCGCAGGCGGUUUGCUAAGACCGAUGUGAAAUCCCCGGGCUCAACCUGGGAACUGCAUUGGUGACUGGCAGGCUAGAGUAUGGCAGAGGGGGGUAGAAUUCCACGUGUAGCAGUGAAAUGCGUAGAGAUGUGGAGGAAUACCGAUGGCGGAGGCAGCCCCCUGGGCCAAUACUGACGCUCAUGCACGAAAGCGUGGGGAGCAAACAGGAUUAGAUACCCUGGUAGUCCACGCCCUAAACGAUGUCAACUAGUUGUUGGGGAUUCAUUUCCUUAGUAACGUAGCUAACGCGUGAAGUUGACCGCCUGGGGAGUACGGUCGCAAGAUUAAAACUCAAAUGAAUUGACGGGGUCAUAGCUGUUUCCU
RNAcentral lists this ribosomal RNA (585 nucleotides) under uncultured bacterium. RNAcentral's name for it is "partial 16S ribosomal RNA". It matches the Rfam family "Bacterial small subunit ribosomal RNA", at positions 355 to 1375 of the family's 1533-position model. The record is from RNAcentral.